Aedes aegypti (yellow fever mosquito) is the source of this 806-nucleotide long non-coding RNA. RefSeq lists it as uncharacterized. NCBI's taxonomy places the organism in Eukaryota, Metazoa, Arthropoda, Insecta, Diptera, Culicidae. The record is from RefSeq and is a predicted model, not a curated record. The transcript has 4 exons.
CCAAUUAUCGAAAUUAUGCCGACAAAAUGUAAAUUGUUUUCUUGGAGUGCAUACAAGCCAUCAAUAAACGCAGAUUACUACACAUCACAUCAUCUACAUUCUCUCGCAUACUACAAGCAAAUCGAUCAAAACUGCUUCGAUCUCCAAUACCCGCACAGUCGCAAUACACGGAGCCAGAUAAUAUUGAGCCGACUGGUGGACCUGAAACAAAAGCAUGCUCCAGAGUGCUCUGUAUAGUCGAUGCAAAUGGUUGCCUGCCUAGUGCGAGUUAAGUGCAUGUUAAAUCCAAAAGUGCAUCAAACAAAGCAUGUCCUUACUGAUGGUGCAAAUUAGGAUCACGAAUAACUGAAGGUGAAUGCACCAUGUGCUGACCACGUGCCAGUGGUCAAUGAUCAAUACCAUCUCGCACAAACAGGAACCACAUAGGCCAGAUUACGAGUUCUAGACAUCAUUCGGCCCAAACGAAACGGAACGCCGCACAAAAUAGUGUCUGCUGGCAAACCCCGUGAAGCUUGAACAAGCUGAGCCAUUUCCCAACAUAAGGGCGACAAGGCCUUCAACAGAAGGCCUUUUAUUUGCAGCCCACCAAUAUAUUGGCUCUACCACGGCAGCUACCAUCCAUUCCUUGCCGUCCAGGCCGGCCUCAUCACAGGAACGACCACCAACUGCAUAUCGUCGACCGCUGGAGCAGCGAACGACGAGUGCACGUGCACACAGCCCUUUCAAGAGCCGAGUACAGACUGUAGCGUUGCAUGGGAACCCGAAGGCUGAGAGUGGUGCAUUACGCUGGAAACUCUCUCACACGA